RNAcentral lists this microRNA precursor (63 nucleotides) under Macaca mulatta (Rhesus monkey). RNAcentral's name for it is "Mml-Novel-5_pre stem-loop". The record is from RNAcentral. Lineage: Eukaryota; Metazoa; Chordata; Mammalia; Primates; Cercopithecidae.
CACUUGCCUGACUGAGUCUAAAUCUAUGGGCAGAAGGCAGUUUGGACUUGCAGGCAUGUUGCA